CCGGCUCCGACCCAGCCGAGAGCCGAGCUGCCCCGGCCACCACCCUCCCCAGCUCCCCUUGGACCUUUCGUCCUCCCCUUCUUAUAGAUCGCCCGAGCCUGGAAUGGAAGAGAAACGGGCGCGGGAUCAACGGGCGGAAGUAGAGGCGGAGGUUGGGGUCUUGAUGAUCCAUGGAGCUCGCACGCGGAUGAAAAAGCUGGGAGGAGGAUUUGGAGGGAGGGAUCGGUGGAAGGAGCCAAUCACGGCCGUGGUGGAUGAUCUGAAUCAUGGAGGAUUUG
RNAcentral lists this long non-coding RNA (278 nucleotides) under Phoenix dactylifera (date palm). Its description in RNAcentral is "long non-coding RNA (PDAC_LNC010085)". Lineage: Eukaryota; Viridiplantae; Streptophyta; Magnoliopsida; Arecales; Arecaceae. The record is from RNAcentral.